RNAcentral lists this ribosomal RNA (254 nucleotides) under uncultured bacterium. RNAcentral describes it as "partial 16S ribosomal RNA". It matches the Rfam family "Bacterial small subunit ribosomal RNA", at positions 524 to 776 of the family's 1533-position model. The record is from RNAcentral.
UACGUAGGGUGCGAGCGUUGUCCGGAAUUAUUGGGCGUAAAGAGCUCGUAGGCGGUGUGUCACGUCGGCCGUGAAAACCUGGGGCUCAACUCUGGGCGUGCGGUCGAUACGGGCAUCACUUGAGUUCGGCAGGGGAGACUGGAAUUCCUGGUGUAGCGGUGAAAUGCGCAGAUAUCAGGAGGAACACCGGUGGCGAAGGCGGGUCUCUGGGCCGAUACUGACGCUGAGGAGCGAAAGCGUGGGGAGCGAACAGG